This 509-nucleotide ribosomal RNA is filed under the name Cryptosporidium scrofarum. RNAcentral describes it as "SSU rRNA". Lineage: Eukaryota; Apicomplexa; Conoidasida; Eucoccidiorida; Cryptosporidiidae. The record is from RNAcentral.
UAGACGGUAGGGUAUUGGCCUACCGUGGCUAUGACGGGUAACGGGGAAUUAGGGUUCGAUUCCGGAGAGGGAGCCUGAGAAACGGCUACCACAUCUAAGGAAGGCAGCAGGCGCGCAAAUUACCCAAUCCUAAUACAGGGAGGUAGUGACAAGAAAUAACRAUACAGAACCUCACGGUUUUGUAAUUGGAAUGAGUUAAGUAUAAACCCCUUAACGAGUAUCAAUUGGAGGGCAAGUCUGGUGCCAGCAGCCGCGGUAAUUCCAGCUCCAAUAGCGUAUAUUAAAGUUGUUGCAGUUAAAAAGCUCGUAGUUGAUUUUCUGUUAAUUUUUAUGUAUAAUAUUGCGAUAUUUACAUAAUAUUAACAUAAUUCACAUUACUUUACAGUAUGUGGAAUUUUACUUUGAGAAAAUUAGAGUGCUUAAAGCAGGCUAUUGCCUUGAAUACUCCAGCAUGGAAUAAUAUUAAGGAUUUUUAUUCUUCUUAUUGGUUCUAGAAUAAAAAUAAUGAU